This 132-nucleotide small nucleolar RNA is filed under the name Colobus angolensis palliatus. RNAcentral's name for it is "Small nucleolar RNA SNORA70 (ENSCANG00000006648.1)". It matches the Rfam family "Small nucleolar RNA SNORA70". Rfam says of the family: snoRNA U70 seems to be exclusive to mammals and is a member of the H/ACA class of snoRNA which contain H (ANANNA) and ACA box motifs. H/ACA box snoRNAs are involved in the conversion of uridines to pseudouridines (5-ribosyluracil) a constituent of structural RNAs (transfer, ribosomal, small nuclear, and small nucleolar). The record is from Rfam by way of RNAcentral. Lineage: Eukaryota; Metazoa; Chordata; Mammalia; Primates; Cercopithecidae.
CUGCAGCCAAUUAAGCUGAGUGAGUUCUUUUCCUCAUGGGGGCCAGGUGUGCAAUGACUGCAAACAGCUGCUUCCCUAGUGUAUGCAGCCUGUUUCUUGUAUGGGUUGCUCUAAGGGACCUUGGAGACAGGC